UUGAUUGAUCGGGCAAAGAAGGAACGAACGAAACAGAUGGACGAAGACGUGAGAAGGAAAGCACGAAGCGGCGGCGCUGCAUCCGGGCUUUGCUCGUCGCAGGUCACGAAUAAGACCGAAGUCAAGCAAUUGGGGAGCACCUUCGGUGCUUGGUUGGACCGAAGAAGGUUUAAGAACUGAGCAGCGAUUCUGUUCUUCUCCUAUUCCAAUCGUGAGGUACGAGGGGAGGAGGUCCGAAGGGGAGUCCGGUCGGUCAGCAACACGUCGCAGGUGGUGUGUUGGGCAACGGAACUCGACGGGAAGAAGAAGUGAAGUUUGCGAUGGGUGUUGCUCCGAUCGGUAACAGGAAAAGGAGAACAAAAUGGGAGUCGUUGUUGGUCUUGUGUUUGCACUGGACACGAAAACACCCACUUGAGUGUUGUGUUCUUGGCUGGAAAUGAAGAAGAAAGAAGCUGGGAUGUUGUUUUUUUGGGUGUGUCAUUGACAGCUUUAUUUGAGGAAGUAAACAUGGUUCCUUUGUG
Molecule: non-coding RNA, 521 nt
Organism: Lactuca sativa (garden lettuce)
Lineage: Eukaryota; Viridiplantae; Streptophyta; Magnoliopsida; Asterales; Asteraceae
Source: RefSeq, a predicted model, not a curated record